RNAcentral lists this non-coding RNA (113 nucleotides) under Ligilactobacillus ruminis. RNAcentral describes it as "FMN riboswitch (RFN element)". It matches the Rfam family "FMN riboswitch aptamer (RFN element)". Rfam says of the family: The RFN element is a highly conserved domain that is found frequently in the 5'-untranslated regions of prokaryotic mRNAs that encode for flavin mononucleotide (FMN) biosynthesis and transport proteins. This element is a metabolite-dependent riboswitch that directly binds FMN in the absence of proteins. The record is from RNAcentral. Lineage: Bacteria; Bacillati; Bacillota; Bacilli; Lactobacillales; Lactobacillaceae.
AAUCUUCAGGGCAGGGUGUAAAUCCCGACCGGCGGUUAAAGUCCGCGACUCUCAUUAGAGACCGAAUCGGUGUAAUUCCGGUACCGACAGUAUAGUCUGGAUGAAAGAAGAUA